AAUUCUCAACCGUGCGUUCUUGAUUUAUUUCGAGAGGACAUGGCUUGGAGUUUGGGGGAUUUGCUGGCAGCUUCGUCGGCUCUCCUGAAAUGCAUUAGCAAAGGGUCAGCUAGCGUUCGGACGGUGCACGGCCUUUGACGUGAUAACGAUCGUCACGGCCGGAACUGUCCUACGAAGCAUCGAUGGCCCAUGCUUACAAUGUUUGGAACUGUCCUCGUUCAUCUCUGAGGACGACCCUUUUUAGUUACUAGUUGAUUGUGAGGCUCGCUCGCCGACGAACACGAAAAGGGGGCAAAGUUCACAGAGUGUGUGCGUUCGACGCUCACGUUCCUCUUUGGAA
This 340-nucleotide unclassified non-coding RNA is filed under the name uncultured Boletales. Its description in RNAcentral is "sequence contains ITS2". Lineage: Eukaryota; Fungi; Basidiomycota; Agaricomycetes; Boletales. The record is from RNAcentral.